GCACUGCCGAAGAGUCUCAUAGUAGGACGAAACAGCCGUCCAGUGC
Molecule: non-coding RNA, 46 nt
Organism: Schistosoma margrebowiei
Lineage: Eukaryota; Metazoa; Platyhelminthes; Trematoda; Strigeidida; Schistosomatidae
Source: Rfam